CCUAUCAGCUUGUUGGUGAGGUAAUGGCUCACCAAGGCGACGACGGGUAGCCGGCCUGAGAGGGUGACCGGCCACACUGGGACUGAGACACGGCCCAGACUCCUACGGGAGGCAGCAGUGGGGAAUAUUGCACAAUGGGCGAAAGCCUGAUGCAGCAACGCCGCGUGAGGGAUGACGGCCUUCGGGUUGUAAACCUCUUUUAGUAGGGAAGAAGCGAAAGUGACGGUACCUGCUGAANAAGCACCGGCUAACUACGUGCCAGCAGCCGCGGUAUUACGUAGGGUGCAAGCGUUGUCCGGAAUUAUUGGGCNUNAAGAGCUCGUUAGGCGGUUUUGUCNCGUCUGCUGUGAAAUCCCGAGGCUCAACCUCNUNCUUGCNUUUGNGUACCGNCANACU
RNAcentral lists this ribosomal RNA (396 nucleotides) under Curtobacterium sp. SR1-31-1-l. Its description in RNAcentral is "partial 16S ribosomal RNA". It matches the Rfam family "Bacterial small subunit ribosomal RNA", at positions 237 to 642 of the family's 1533-position model. The record is from RNAcentral. Lineage: Bacteria; Bacillati; Actinomycetota; Actinomycetes; Micrococcales; Microbacteriaceae.